UGCUUGGGGUGGCAUAAUGGUUUGAGCAUUGAACUAUGACUCUGGAGACCAGGGUUCGAUUCCCCGCUCGGCCA
Molecule: non-coding RNA, 74 nt
Organism: Phrynosoma platyrhinos (Desert horned lizard)
Lineage: Eukaryota; Metazoa; Chordata; Lepidosauria; Squamata; Phrynosomatidae
Source: the annotation of a GenBank genome assembly